AUGGAGGCUUCCGUCUUGGCAGCUCUUGCGUCAGUAAUCGUUGCUUUCAUCUUGUUGGUAUUGCCACACCUGAGAAAGCAGAGCUCAUCUCAAGACGAUCAGCGCCGCCAGCUGCCUCCGGGAUCCUUCGGCCUUCCCGUCGUCGGCCAGACGGUCGGCCUACUGCGCGCCCUCCGCGCCAACACCGGCGAGGCAUGGCUCCGGCGCUGGGCCUCCGAGUACGGCCCCAUCUCAAAGCUCUCCCUCUUCGGCCUCCCCACGGCCUUCCUCGUCGGCCCCGCCGCCAACAAGUUCCUCUUCGCCAGCACCGCGCUCACCGCCAAGAGCUCCACCUCCUUCAACAGUAUGGUCGGCAGGCGCAACAUCCGGGAGCUGGUCGGCGACGACCACCGCCGCGUAAGGGCCAUGAUGGUCCAGUUCCUCAAGCUGGACAUCGUCAGGAGCUACGUCGCCAGCAUGGACGACGAGGUCCGGCACCACCUCCGCGCCCACUGGGACGGCCGCACGACCGUCGCGGUGAUGCCGUCGAUGAAGUCGCUCACCUUCGGCAUCAUGUGCACCGUCAUCUUUCGGGCUCGGGCGAGCUGA
RNAcentral lists this ribosomal RNA (588 nucleotides) under Triticum aestivum (bread wheat). Its description in RNAcentral is "partial small subunit ribosomal RNA". The record is from RNAcentral. Lineage: Eukaryota; Viridiplantae; Streptophyta; Magnoliopsida; Poales; Poaceae.